UUGUAAAUAAUUUUUGUAGUCCUAGUUUUAGGCAGGAUAAAACCCUAGCUUAGAUAUUUUCCUCUUCGUUCUCUUACUCCUCUCUUCUCACCGUAAAUCUCUUCACUCGAUUCAUAUUAUUGAAACCAUGAACUGCAAAUUAAUUAAAAUUAUCUUUCCUAAACCUAUAGUUUGUAAACCAAAUACAUCUUCAGAAACCAAACCUAAUAUUUCAAUAAUCCAAAUCUCUUAUUGAACCCCAGAAGUUUGAUUUUCUCCGACAUAAUUCCGAGCAACUUAAUAUCUUUAUUCCCUGCACGAAAUAUUACAGACCAGUCCAAGAAGAUGAGUUUAGUAAACCCUGGUUUCUUUGUUUAUGGCGAUGUUGUGAGUGUAUAUAGUGAAAACAAAUCAAGGAUUCGCAAUUUUUAUGUUUCUUCAUUUGAUUUCAUGGAGUUUAAAUCAUGGUUUGGUUUAAAUUUCAGUUUUAUGAUCUCAAUUUUGAGUUAGAUUACUAUAUUUAUGUACAUCUGGUUGUAUUGAUUUUCUAGGGUUUAUUUUUGUUUUGAUUUGGUUUGUCUUAACAGUAUUCCAUCAUUUAGAUCUGAAAUUUGUUGGAUUUAUAAUGAGUUUGGUGUGUGAUUUUUUCAGACUAAGUAGAUUAUUCGAAAGCAGAGAAGCAGGAACAGUCAUAUUUUGGGUUAGUCAAGGACAACAACUUCAUGUAAGGUAUGUUGAGGAACACUUGAGAAUUUUCAAAUCUCUACUCAUCCUCAAUCAAAAGAGAAGACAUCGAUGACAUUGAUGGUGCUGAAUAAAAGCUUCAUGAAUGUAAGGAUGGGAGCCAUCUAAAUGACAUUGAUUAGACUAUGAAGUGGUGAAAACUUGGGGUUUCAAAACAUGCAAGCUUGUAUUAAAAUGGUGCAGGCAUUUAUGUUAGCAUCUCUCCUUCAGCUUACAUCAAGCUUGGAUUUUAUCAUGUAUUGGGUACCUCCAAUGUAAAUGAAGGAUUGUGCGGUCACUUAACUAAGUGUGAUUGCAUCUCUGGAGAUAAGUCCUAAUGGAAGUAUCAAUUAGCAGGAUCUUCGAGAAUUUCUGAAAUGGGAUGUUGUCCAUCUCGAUUUUCCAUUCCCUUCCAACUGAUAAGUUGGAGAUGACAUGAUCCAACUAUAGUCAGGCUUGUUUUCGUCGCCUGUGAGAUAUUUACUUGUGAAAUCGAGGUUAUCUUAAAGACAUUAAUGGAUGAUGACGAGUUCCAGCUGAAGGGAUUGCUCUCCUCAUUUAUGGGACCAAACCAUCCUCAUAUCCCUUUGCUAGUUGGGUACUUCAGUAAGUUACGCAAAUUUAUAAAGGUGUAUCAUGGUUAUGAUCAUAAGUUGUAGUUUGGCUUAUGCUGAGGAAGACAGUCCCACUAAUAAACUAUGUCCAAAUUCUCAUGUUACUAUAAUUUGGAGGAUACACUCUUGUGAAGAACUUAAAGGACCUGUUUCAAAGCUUUGGGUUUGACGCAUAUCCAGUAGUCAUUGGCCUUAUCAUCUUUCAGGUGUUGAUGGUAAGAAAGGUGGUGGUCGGCAUCAAGCGAACCUUACCCCAUGGAAGGAAAGACCCUGCAAGUGGAGGCAUCAGGUCAAAAAAUCUCCAAAAUCUACACUUUAGUGGUGAUUAUUUUGCAGAGUAAGAAAAAGACAUUCAUUGAUCACGUGUUGUCUUUUUUUAUCCCUCAUGUUAGGACCACAAUCACUGGGUUGCAUUUCUUUAAUCUGUAAUUUAUUUAUCUUUCAGAUUUGAAACUUUGAUGUUUGUAGUUUAUUGAUGUUGUAAAAUAAAUUCAGUUAUAAAGAUAAUGUUCAUGCAAUUUCAAAUUAUAGUUCGUUCA
Molecule: long non-coding RNA, 1855 nt
Organism: Papaver somniferum (opium poppy)
Lineage: Eukaryota; Viridiplantae; Streptophyta; Magnoliopsida; Ranunculales; Papaveraceae
Exons: 9
Source: RefSeq, a predicted model, not a curated record